GAUGAACGCUGGCGGCGUGCCUAACACAUGCAAGUCGAGCGAAAAGACGACGAGCGUUCCUCUCUGACGUCAGCCGCGGACGGGUGAGUAACACGUGGAUAACCUAGCUAUGAGACUGGGAUCACUUCGGGAAACCGGAGCGCAUAUCGGCUAAUAUAUUAAACCGCAUGGCUCAAUAGUGAAAGUCGGUUUUGCUGUUUCUUAUAGCUGGUUCCGCGCCGCAUUAGCUAGUUGGUAAGGUAACGGCCUACCAAGGCAACGAUGCGUAGCCGACCUGAGAGGGUGAUCGGCCACACUGGGACUGAGACACGGUCCAGACUCCUACGGGAGGCAGCAGUAGGGAAUCUUCCGCAAUGGGCGAAAGCUUGACGGAGCAACGCCGCGUGAGUGAUGAAGGUCUUCGGAUCGUAAAACUCUGUUAUUAGGGAAGAACAAAUGUGGAAGUAACUAUGCACGUCUUGACGGUACCUAAUCAGAAAGCAACGGCUAACUACGUG
RNAcentral lists this ribosomal RNA (497 nucleotides) under uncultured bacterium. Its description in RNAcentral is "partial 16S ribosomal RNA". It matches the Rfam family "Bacterial small subunit ribosomal RNA", at positions 28 to 507 of the family's 1533-position model. The record is from RNAcentral.